Molecule: long non-coding RNA, 239 nt
Organism: Struthio camelus australis
Lineage: Eukaryota; Metazoa; Chordata; Aves; Struthioniformes; Struthionidae
Source: RefSeq, a predicted model, not a curated record
CAGCGCUAGCUGCUGCUGUGAAUUCAUAAUAAGAAAGCCUAGACCUGCACAGGUCAGAAUACAGUGAUAUUCAGCAAAAUGUCAUACAGUGGAACCUCAGUUCUGAUAAGUGCUAACGACACAUCAAAGGAUCAUUUGGCAGUUGUGUGAGAUGAAGGCCUUUGGUGAGAAAUAACUAAUAGCUGAAGGAAUCUUUGGGAACCUUUGUGAAGUCUCCUUCAAGUGGAUAAACAUUCAGA